AUCCUUGGAAUGCAGAUUAUC
This 21-nucleotide microRNA is filed under the name Medicago truncatula (barrel medic). RNAcentral's name for it is "mtr-miR2111l". Lineage: Eukaryota; Viridiplantae; Streptophyta; Magnoliopsida; Fabales; Fabaceae. The record is from miRBase by way of RNAcentral.